This 497-nucleotide ribosomal RNA is filed under the name uncultured bacterium. RNAcentral describes it as "partial 16S ribosomal RNA". It matches the Rfam family "Bacterial small subunit ribosomal RNA", at positions 28 to 507 of the family's 1533-position model. The record is from RNAcentral.
GAUGAACGCUGGCGGCGUGCCUAAUACAUGCAUGUCGAGCGAACAGACGAGGAGCUUGCUCCUCUGACGUUAGCGGCGGACGGGUGAGUAACACGUGGAUAACCUACCUAUAAGACUUGGAUAACUUCGGGAAACCGGAGCUAAUACCGGAUAAUAUAUUGAACCGCAUGGUUCAAUAGUGAAAGACGGUUUUGCUGUCACUUAUAGAUGGAUCCGCGCCGCAUUAGCUAGUUGGUAAGGUAACGGCUUACCAAGGCGACGAUGCGUAGCCGACCUGAGAGGGUGAUCGGCCACACUGGAACUGAGACACGGUCCAGACUCCUACGGGAGGCAGCAGUAGGGAAUCUUCCGCAAUGGGCGAAAGCCUGACGGAGCAACGCCGCGUGAGUGAUGAAGGUCUUCGGAUCGUAAAACUCUGUUAUUAGGGAAGAACAAAUGUGUAAGUAACUAUGCACGUCUUGACGGUACCUAAUCAGAAAGCCACGGCUAACUACGUG